GAGGGUAUAGCUCAGGGGUAGAGCAUACGCAUAGCAUGCACGAGGUCCUGGGUUCAACCUCCAGUACCUCCA
RNAcentral lists this transfer RNA (72 nucleotides) under Camelus bactrianus (Bactrian camel). It matches the Rfam family "tRNA". From Rfam's summary of the family: Transfer RNA (tRNA) molecules are approximately 80 nucleotides in length. Their secondary structure includes four short double-helical elements and three loops (D, anti-codon, and T loops). The record is from Rfam by way of RNAcentral. Lineage: Eukaryota; Metazoa; Chordata; Mammalia; Artiodactyla; Camelidae. RNAcentral also lists the same sequence under 1 other name.